RNAcentral lists this long non-coding RNA (1236 nucleotides) under Capra hircus (goat). RNAcentral's name for it is "lncRNA (ENSCHIG00000007233.1)". Lineage: Eukaryota; Metazoa; Chordata; Mammalia; Artiodactyla; Bovidae. The record is from RNAcentral.
GUGGUGUAUAAGAAAGUCCCCAUCAGAAAGGGAGGACACUGGCUCUUCUCAAGGGCCAGUCACCCUCUCGUCUUCCCUUUAAUAAAUUUCCCUUUUCUGGCCUGACUGCCCAGGUCACUCUCUUUUUCUCUGCACUUGUCUUACAGUCUGGACCUCACCAAGAAACUGAGAUGAGCCCCGGGACGUGACUCUCCACUUGCCUUGCUGGACUGACAUCCACACACUGGUCCACAUUGCAUCCAUCGGUUACAAGGAAAUCUGGACAUCCCUCCUGGUCCUAAGCACGAGUCCUCUGAUCCAGCUCUGCCCAGCCUCCUCGGAUUUGCUGCUGAAGGUGCCCAGGGCUCCAGGCCCUGAUUCUCAUCACCUCUAUGGAGCCCAGGGUAACUCUCACAGUGGCAGGUAAGCAGCAUUAGCUCCAUCUCAGGUUCUGCAUCCACGGAAGAUGCACCCAGCAGCAUUGGGUUUCUCAGGGACAAGGGGCUUGUAUGGGUGUCUGGCCUCCUCUCCAGCAGCCUUCUCGAAAGACUGAAGCAAAUGAAGCUUUCCUGCACAGCCCUCGGACUAGUCACUGAUUACCCUGAGGGCGGUAAUCUCUUGGUACUGCAGCUCAGAUAUGAAUUUUAAAACAUGCUAAUCUGAACAGAAAAAGUCCCCUUGAGGGGGGGGAAAAAAGAAAUAUGUUAAAAAAGAAGUUCAUUUUUUGAUUUCUCCUCACUUUGGACUUUUUUUAAUUUAAAAAGAAGAAGAAAAUGAAUCUUUUACUAUGAACAUCAUUAUGUUAUAUAAGAGAAAUGAGCAAAGCUCAGUCCACCAAAGCUCAUAUGAGGGUUAAGUUAAAGGAACUCUCUCAAGAUUCCAUUCUGUGAUGAAACUUCAUGUACAGAAUACCACCAAUAAGUACACGAUAACAUUGAAAUUGUAUAAAAGAAUUUAUUUGCAUACAAAGUCCUUCUAAUUUCUUCAUUUGGGUUUUUCUUGCUUUGCAGAAAUUCACAUGUUCUUUCUCAUAUCAAAUGCCCUCUAGACAUGAUAAAAUUUUAAAUAAUAGUGAGAGAUAGGAAAGGUGCAUUUGCACUGACUACAUAAAUCUAUACUAGUGGACACACCGUAUUUUUUCAUUGGGAUAAUUAUAUAGUUGGCUUAGAUUUUACACAUACAGGCCACCAUCGCCGAAUAAGAAAAACCUCUGCUUCACCACUGGUAGCACUGGCACCCCCAAGACAAAUACAGAAU